This 95-nucleotide ribosomal RNA is filed under the name Aeromonas sp. PrichA-15. RNAcentral's name for it is "partial 16S ribosomal RNA". It matches the Rfam family "Bacterial small subunit ribosomal RNA", at positions 1439 to 1533 of the family's 1533-position model. Lineage: Bacteria; Pseudomonadati; Pseudomonadota; Gammaproteobacteria; Aeromonadales; Aeromonadaceae. RNAcentral also lists the same sequence under 1 other name. The record is from RNAcentral.
CCUUCGGGAGGGCGUUUACCACGGUGUGAUUCAUGACUGGGGUGAAGUCGUAACAAGGUAACCCUAGGGGAACCUGGGGUUGGAUCACCUCCUUA